This 88-nucleotide transfer RNA is filed under the name Planctomycetota bacterium. RNAcentral describes it as "tRNA-Leu". It matches the Rfam family "tRNA". From Rfam's summary of the family: Transfer RNA (tRNA) molecules are approximately 80 nucleotides in length. Their secondary structure includes four short double-helical elements and three loops (D, anti-codon, and T loops). Further hydrogen bonds mediate the characteristic L-shaped molecular structure. tRNAs have two regions of fundamental functional importance: the anti-codon, which is responsible for specific mRNA codon recognition, and the 3' end, to which the tRNAs corresponding amino acid is attached (by aminoacyl-tRNA synthetases). tRNAs cope with the degeneracy of the genetic code in two manners: having more than one tRNA (with a specific anti-codon) for a particular amino acid; and 'wobble' base-pairing, i.e. permitting non-standard base-pairing at the 3rd anti-codon position. The record is from RNAcentral. Lineage: Bacteria; Pseudomonadati; Planctomycetota.
GGGCGGGUGGCGGAAUUGGCAGACGCUGGGGACUUAAAAUCCCCUGGGCUAAAAGCCCAUCCGGGUUCGAUCCCCGGCUCGCCCACCA